This 490-nucleotide ribosomal RNA is filed under the name uncultured bacterium. Its description in RNAcentral is "partial 16S ribosomal RNA". It matches the Rfam family "Bacterial small subunit ribosomal RNA", at positions 28 to 507 of the family's 1533-position model. The record is from RNAcentral.
GAUGAACGCUAGCUACAGGCUUAACACAUGCAAGUCGAGGGGAAACGAUGAGAGAGCUUGCUCUCUUAGGCGUCGACCGGCGCACGGGUGAGUAACGCGUAUCCAACCUACCCAUUACAGGGGGAUAACCUUGCGAAAGUAAGACUAAUACCCCAUGGCAUUUUAUGGUGGCAUCAUUAUAGGAUUAAAGAUUUAUUGGUAAUGGAUGGGGAUGCGUCUGAUUAGCUUGUUGGCGGGGUAACGGCCCACCAAGGCAACGAUCAGUAGGGGUUCUGAGAGGAAGGUCCCACACAGUGGAACUGAGACAAGGUCCAAACGCCUACGGGAGGCAGCAGUGAGGAAUAUUGGUCAAUGGGCGAGAGCUUGAACCAGCCAAGUAGCGUGCAGGAUGACGGCCCUAUGGGUUGUAAACUGCUUUUAUAGGGGAAUAAAGUGAGCUACGUGUAGUUUAUUGCAUGUACCCUAUGAAUAAGGACCGGCUAAUUCCGUG